RNAcentral lists this long non-coding RNA (401 nucleotides) under Vigna radiata. RNAcentral describes it as "long non-coding RNA (VRAD_LNC015609)". Lineage: Eukaryota; Viridiplantae; Streptophyta; Magnoliopsida; Fabales; Fabaceae. The record is from RNAcentral.
UAAAUGUAGAAUCUCUCGGUGAGAUCCUUAGUGUUUUAAAAUGAAAGUAGGGGCUCAGCCUUGGGAGUCAUUCUGACGCUUCAAUGGUCAAUCAAACUCACGUAGAGAGGUUGAACCAUGUGGUGAGAAGUAGCAGGAGGUCCUUAGUCUUGGGGGCUCCCAGUAUGCCUCAAGGCGCGGAACGGACUAACCUCGUGAGUGUGGCAGGAUGGGGAACCCAAGUUUCAUAAGUCACCACGGGUGCAAGACUCGCCAUAGCCCGACUAUCAUUUUAAAGUCCGGAUGAGUCAAGUCUAGAAAUUCACAUGCUUAGGUUGUAUUAUUAAACUGUUUGUUAAGAAUUAUUAUUGUAUGAUACAUGCUUAAUCUCAGUUGUAUGAUUUUAUAUAAUUAGCUCACCC